CUACGUGCCAGCAGCCGCGGUAAUACGGAGGGUGCGAGCGUUAAUCGGAAUAACUGGGCGUAAAGGGCACGCAGGCGGCUAUUUAAGUGAGGUGUGAAAUCCCCGGGCUUAACCUGGGAAUUGCAUUUCAGACUGGGUAGCUAGAGUACUUUAGGGAGGGGUAGAAUUCCACGUGUAGCGGUGAAAUGCGUAGAGAUGUGGAGGAAUACCGAAGGCGAAGGCAGCCCCUUGGGAAUGUACUGACGCUCAUGUGCGAAAGCGUGGGGAGCAAACAGGAUUAGAUACCCUGGUAGUCCACGCUGUAAACGCUGUCGAUUUGGGGAUUGGGCUUUAAGCUUGGUGCCCGUAGCUAACGUGAUAAAUCGACCGCCUGGGGAGUACGGCCGCAAGGUUAAAACUCAAAUGAAUUGACGGGGGCCCGCACAAGCGGUGGAGCAUGUGGUUUAAUUCGAUGCAACGCGAAGAACCUUACCUACUCUUGACAUCCAUGGAAUCCUGUAGAGAUACGGGAGUGC
RNAcentral lists this ribosomal RNA (515 nucleotides) under uncultured bacterium. RNAcentral's name for it is "bacterial SSU rRNA". It matches the Rfam family "Bacterial small subunit ribosomal RNA", at positions 501 to 1017 of the family's 1533-position model. The record is from RNAcentral.